RNAcentral lists this long non-coding RNA (1463 nucleotides) under Sus scrofa (pig). Its description in RNAcentral is "lncRNA (ENSSSCG00040073631.1)". The record is from RNAcentral. Lineage: Eukaryota; Metazoa; Chordata; Mammalia; Artiodactyla; Suidae.
AGGUGAAAAUGUUUUAUUUAGCUCAAACGUUACAACCGAAUCCACCUUGUAUGUUAGACACUGAAGAAAAUCAUGGGCAACAGUAAUACAAAAACAUUUCAGUUUUGAUGCCACAGACAAGGCACAAAAACCACUGGUCAGGGGACUCUCAUGAAGCUGCUUUCUGACCCUUCUUUGUCCUGUGGCUCCUCCUAUUCCCUUUUCGUUUAGUCCCACAAGGAAAAUUCUCAUUGGAUAGUGUCUAAUACCUUUGAUAAUGGAGUAGCUUUUCUCAAAGCCAAGAUGAGAGGCAAGCUAUUUGUGUCUCAUUCAGCACAGCCUCCCCCCACCCCCCGAAGAAGUGGGCCAGACCACAUUGACCUGUGUCCAGCCCCACUGAGAGAUCUCAACAAAACUUUUAACUAAACUGCUAUUUUGGCUCCCUCUAUAUAUGGCCCCCCUGAGAACCAUCCUCUGAGUUCUACCUAAAAUCCCCUUAUGCAGGGAAGAUGCCAGAUGGUUCGCUCCAGGCAGGUCACCUCCAAGCCCUGGAAUUCCAAGUCUACAUGCAAGUCUAAUUUGGCUCAGAAAUUCCUCUUCAGGAAAGAUUUUAAAAUCUUUCUUUUUUCUUUUUAAGGCCACACCCGUGGCAUAUGGAAGUUUCCAGGCUCGGUUUUAUAUCCUGCUUGAUGGGACCAUCAUAUCCACCCUCUUACCAAAGGGCUUAUUGUGAGGAUCAGAUGAGAUAAUGCAUGUUUAAGUAGUCUGUAAAUAGUAAGAUGCCAUAAAAUGACACACGUUGUUCUUAUCACCCUCAGGCAGUGAUAAAGCUCAGGGUUCUUCUACUUAAAGCAGCUCAACACUAUCCUUCCUCCACUCUGGUGUUAAAAGCUCCUUAACUUUGAGCUUCAUUGAUCAGCUUCCCAGGUGAGGAGGAGGAAGGAUUCUGGCAGGAAAACACUAGGCACUUUUCUCUUUAAGUACCUCGGCCCCUAUUUUAGCAGAUUUGAAUCUCUAAAUCUUAUAAAUCAAUUUCAAGUUACUGUAAGAUUCUGGCAGCAUUUACAUCGGAUGUUGGAAGGACCUGUAACAUAGAUUUUACUAUUCCUGCCCAUCCCACUUUGGGUCUUGAGAUGGAAGUAAUUGUUGACUUCCCAGGCUGAUAAUUUGAAUGCUUCAAAAAAAAAAAAAAAAAAAACAAUUUAUUUUUGCCAUUUCCCCAAUGGGCUCUUUUCUUUCUAUUCUUGAAAUAAGUUUUGCUCAGAAUGACAUCAAGGGAAUGAGACAAUUACCUGUAAUUCUUGUUGUCAGAUCUGAGAUUGUCACAACAGAUCUCUAUUCUAGGACCGGAAACAUCUGGAAGCCUCCUGAGGAGUGCUCCUUGCAUUCUUUUCUGCCUCGCAGUCUUCUUACUCCUGGACCCUGGUGAGACAGUCCCCACUGUCACAGCCACACUGCAGGGGGCUUCACCAUUGCCAGCCCCA